GUCUCGUGGGCUCGGAGAUGUGUAUAAGAGACAGGCUGGGAAGCUAUGUGCGGAAGGGAUAAGUGCUGAAAGCAUCUAAGCAUGAAGCCCCCCUCAAGAUGAGAUUUCCCAUAGCGAAAGCUAGUAAGAUCCCUGAAAGAUGAUCAGGUUGAUAGGUUCGAGGUGGAAGCAUGGUGACAUGUGGAGCGGACGAAUACUAAUAGAUCGAGGACUUAACCAU
Molecule: ribosomal RNA, 220 nt
Filed under: Bacillus cereus
Lineage: Bacteria; Bacillati; Bacillota; Bacilli; Caryophanales; Bacillaceae
Description: partial 23S ribosomal RNA
Rfam family: Bacterial large subunit ribosomal RNA
Source: RNAcentral